Molecule: small nuclear RNA, 107 nt
Organism: Cavia porcellus (domestic guinea pig)
Lineage: Eukaryota; Metazoa; Chordata; Mammalia; Rodentia; Caviidae
Source: Ensembl
GUGCUUGCUUCAGCAGCAUGUGUAUUAAAAUUGGAAUAAUGCAAAUAUCAACAUGGUCCCUGCACAAGGAUGACAUGCAAAAAGCCCCGGAACUACACUGUAAUUGU